GACGAACUGUCCAAACGUUGUUCGGAAUCACUGGGCUUAAAGGGCGCGUAGGCGGUCCGGUAAGUCAGGGGUGAAAUCCCACAGCUUAACUGUGGAAGUGCCUUUGAUACUGCCGGUCUGGAGGGAGAUAGGGGUGUGCGGAACUUCCAGUGGAGCGGUGAAAUUCGUAGAUAUUGGGAAGAACACCGAUGGCGAAGGCAGCCAUCUGGACCGACACUGACGCUGAGGCGCGAAAGCGUGGGGAGCAAACAGG
This 253-nucleotide ribosomal RNA is filed under the name uncultured bacterium. Its description in RNAcentral is "partial 16S ribosomal RNA". It matches the Rfam family "Bacterial small subunit ribosomal RNA", at positions 524 to 776 of the family's 1533-position model. The record is from RNAcentral.